This 253-nucleotide ribosomal RNA is filed under the name uncultured prokaryote. RNAcentral's name for it is "partial 16S ribosomal RNA". It matches the Rfam family "Bacterial small subunit ribosomal RNA", at positions 525 to 777 of the family's 1533-position model. The record is from RNAcentral.
ACGGGGGGUGCGAGCGUUGUCCGGAAUCACUGGGCGUAAAGGGCGUGUAGGUGGCGUGAUAAGGGUGUGGUGAAAGCCCGGGGCUCAACCCCGGGUCGGCCAUGCCGACUGUCAGGCUCGAGUGCUGUAGGGGCAGGCGGAAUUCCUGGUGUAGCGGUGAAAUGCGUAGAUAUCAGGAGGAACACCGGUGGCGAAGGCGCACAUCUGGCCCAAUACUGACGCUGAGGCGCGAAAGCUAGGGGAGCAAACGGGA